UUGAAUCCGCAAUUUGGUUCUUGGGAGGCUCCAAAAUGCCUCUCCAAGUCAGAAUCUGCGGUAGAGUG
Molecule: small nucleolar RNA, 68 nt
Filed under: Euglena gracilis
Lineage: Eukaryota; Euglenozoa; Euglenophyceae; Euglenales; Euglenaceae
Description: Eg-p10
Source: RNAcentral